AGUAGCUCAAUUGGUAGAGCAGCAAACUGUUAAUUUGCCUGUUGCGGGUUCGAGUCCCGCCUAUUCGCGUCUCCA
This 75-nucleotide transfer RNA is filed under the name Gammaproteobacteria bacterium. Its description in RNAcentral is "tRNA-Asn". It matches the Rfam family "tRNA". From Rfam's summary of the family: Transfer RNA (tRNA) molecules are approximately 80 nucleotides in length. RNAcentral also lists the same sequence under 1 other name. Lineage: Bacteria; Pseudomonadati; Pseudomonadota; Gammaproteobacteria. The record is from RNAcentral.